Molecule: ribosomal RNA, 473 nt
Filed under: uncultured bacterium
Lineage: Bacteria
Description: bacterial SSU rRNA
Rfam family: Bacterial small subunit ribosomal RNA
Source: RNAcentral
ACUCCUACGGGAGGCAGCAGUAGGGAAUCUUCCACAAUGGGCGCAAGCCUGAUGGAGCAACACCGCGUGAGUGAAGAAGGGUUUCGGCUCGUAAAGCUCUGUUGUUAAAGAAGAACACGUAUGAGAGUAACUGUUCAUACGUUGACGGUAUUUAACCAGCAAGUCACGGCUAACUACGUGCCAGCAGCCGCGGUAAUACGUAGGUGGCAAGCGUUAUCCGGAUUUAUUGGGCGUAAAGAGAGUGCAGGCGGUUUUCUAAGUCUGAUGUGAAAGCCUUCGGCUUAACCGGAGAAGUGCAUCGGAAACUGGAUAACUUGAGUGCAGAAGAGGGUAGUGGAACUCCAUGUGUAGCGGUGGAAUGCGUAGAUAUAUGGAAGAACACCAGUGGCGAAGGCGGCUACCUGGUCUGCAACUGACGCUGAGACUCGAAAGCAUGGGUAGCGAACAGGAUUAGAUACCCUGGUAGGAUAGCG